GAUGAACGCUAGCUACAGGCUUAACACAUGCAAGUCGCGGGGCAGCAUGGGGGUUGCUUGCAAUCCCCGAUGGCGACCGGCGCACGGGUGAGUAACGCGUAUCCAACCUGCCCUUCACCACGGGAUAACCCGGCGAAAGUCGGACUAAUACCGUAUGUUGUCCAUUGACGGCCUCCGAUUUGGACGAAAGGUUUGGCGGUGAAGGAUGGGGAUGCGUCCGAUUAGCUGGACGGCGGGGUGACGGCCCACCGUGGCGACGAUCGGUAGGGGUUCUGAGAGGAAGGUCCCCCACACUGGAACUGAGACACGGUCCAGACUCCUACGGGAGGCAGCAGUGAGGAAUAUUGGUCAAUGGGCGUAAGCCUGAACCAGCCAAGUAGCGUGCAGGAUGACGGCCCUAUGGGUGGUAAACUGCUUUUAUGCGGGGAUAAAGUGGCCCACGUGUGGGUUUUUGCAGGUACCGCAUGAAUAAGGACCGGCUAAUUCCGUG
RNAcentral lists this ribosomal RNA (490 nucleotides) under uncultured bacterium. RNAcentral's name for it is "partial 16S ribosomal RNA". It matches the Rfam family "Bacterial small subunit ribosomal RNA", at positions 28 to 507 of the family's 1533-position model. The record is from RNAcentral.